GAGAAAACCAAGGCACAGAGGUGUUAUGUGAUCACACAGCUACUCAGCAUGACAGAGACUCCAUUCCAGGUGGAAAAAGCACAUGGCUCUUUCUUCUCCGAGAUCCCAGGACUAUCUUAUUUUCCUCAGAGGGGCAGGUUACAAGAACUUCACAUCUCUCAGGCUACAUGUUGCAAAGGUUAAAUUCCAGGUGAGUGCAGCCAAGAAGCUGGGGGUU
This 217-nucleotide long non-coding RNA is filed under the name Homo sapiens (human). Its description in RNAcentral is "non-protein coding lnc-L3HYPDH-1:6". The record is from RNAcentral. Lineage: Eukaryota; Metazoa; Chordata; Mammalia; Primates; Hominidae.